This is an RNA transcript of Enhydra lutris kenyoni (northern sea otter), 1085 nucleotides long. It is a transcript of the gene named protein PRRC2A pseudogene, with no coding region annotated. Lineage: Eukaryota; Metazoa; Chordata; Mammalia; Carnivora; Mustelidae. The record is from RefSeq and is a predicted model, not a curated record. The transcript has 2 exons.
AUGAGUGCUGGACUGUUACCAAUUGGUUCUAGAAGAGACCCCCUCAGAGCAGGUUCUCAGAAUUCAGCCGUGGGCUUUGUAUUGCACAUCACUGUAAUGGCUUAUUUAUUUAAGAGUAAAACAAACACAGUAAAUAUCCUUACCACACCCCAUGCCAAAAUACUGCAGAGGAAGAGAGAAGAUCAUAGCAUCCUGAAGACAGUCAUUAAAGAAGCUUUCUGCCCCAGCCCAUUGCCCGAUCCACCCUUGCUUCAGGUGCGCCAGGAUCUGCCAUCCCCCUCAGAUUUUUAUUCUACUCCUCUGCAACGUGGUGGCCAAAGUGGCUUCCUCCCCUCAGGUGGCCAAAGUGGCUUCCUCCCCUCCCCUGCCCAGCAGAUGCUUCUACCCAUGGUGGACUCACAGUUGCCUGUGGUGAACUUUGGCUCCCUGCCACCAGCGCCACCUCCUGCGCCACCACCCCUUUCUCUGUUACCUGUGGGCCCUGCUCUGCAGCCCCCCAGCCUGGCUGUGCAGCCCCCACCUGCUCCUGCUACUCGGGUGCUGCCUUCACCUGCCAGACCUUUCCCCCCUAGCUUGGGGCGAGCAGCGCUGCACCCAGUGGAACUAAAGCCGUUCCAGGAUUAUCGGAAACUGAGCAGCAACCUUGGGGGACCCGGGUCGUCUCGUACUCCCCCAGCUGGAAGGUCUUUCUCUGGCCUGAAUUCCCGUAUCAAGGCCCCGCGUUCUACUUACAGCGGUGUCUUCCGCACCCAGCGCAUCGACCUCUACCAGCAGACCUCCCCACCAGAUGCCCUGCGCUGGAUGCCGAAGCCCGGGGAGCAGGCGGGGCCCCCUUCCCGAGAGGGGCCUUCCCGACGGGCAGAGGAGCCUGGGUCCCGAGGAGACAAGGAGCCUGGGUUGCCCCCACCCCGCUGAGGGAGUUCCCCUUGCCCCCUACCCCCUGGGGCUUGUAUAUAGAUUAUAAAUAUAUAAGGGGGAAAGGGGUGGGGGGGGAGGGGUUGUGGGGCUGGGACCUACUUCCCCUCCACCCCCCUCCUCUGGUCCCCUAUCCCUGGGGCCGUUUGUUAAAAAAGAAUAAUAAAAGG